UGAUUUGUUCGUAGAGCGCGAACAGCAUAAUCAAAAGAAAGCUCAACUGAU
Molecule: non-coding RNA, 51 nt
Filed under: unclassified sequences
Description: 6A RNA
Rfam family: 6A RNA
About the family: Actinobacteria (1 example), Firmicutes, Fusobacteria. Terminator (Clostridia)
Source: Rfam by way of RNAcentral